ACGGGUGAGUAAUAUAUCGGAACGUACCGAGUAAUGGGGGAUAACUAAUCGAAAGAUUAGCUAAUACCGCAUAUUCUCUGAGGAGGAAAGCAGGGGACCUUCGGGCCUUGCGUUAUUCGAGCGGCCGAUAUCUGAUUAGCUAGUUGGUGGGGUGAAGGCCUACCAAGGCGACGAUCAGUAGCGGGUCUGAGAGGAUGAUCCGCCACACUGGGACUGAGACACGGCCCAGACUCCUACGGGAGGCAACAGUGGGGAAUUUUGGACAAUGGGCGCAAGCCUGAUCCAGCCAUGCCGCGUGUCCGAAGAAGGCCUUCGGGUUGUAAAGGACUUUUGUCAGGGAAGAAAAGGACAGGGUUAAUACCUCUGUUUGAUGACGGUACCUGAAGAAUAAGCACCGGCUAACUACGUGCAAGCAGCCGCGGUAAUACGUAGGGUGCGAGCGUUAAUCGGAAUUACUGGGCGUAAAGCGAGCGCAGACGGUUACUUAAGCAGGAUGUGAAAUCCCCGGGCUCAACCUGGGAACUGCGUUCUGAACUGGGUGACUAGAGUGUGUCAGAGGGAGGUAGAAUUCCACGUGUAGCAGUGAAAUGCGUAGAGAUGUGGAGGAAUACCGAUGGCGAAGGCAGCCUCCUGGGAUAACACUGACGUUCAUGCUCGAAAGCGUGGGUAGCAAACAGGAUUAGAUACCCU
Molecule: ribosomal RNA, 690 nt
Filed under: uncultured bacterium
Lineage: Bacteria
Description: bacterial SSU rRNA
Rfam family: Bacterial small subunit ribosomal RNA
Source: RNAcentral